This 997-nucleotide ribosomal RNA is filed under the name human gut metagenome. RNAcentral's name for it is "bacterial LSU rRNA". It matches the Rfam family "Bacterial large subunit ribosomal RNA", at positions 1934 to 2925 of the family's 2925-position model. The record is from RNAcentral.
CCGUAACUAUAACGGUCCUAAGGUAGCGAAAUUCCUUGUCGGGCAAGUUCCGACCUGCACGAAUGGCAUAAUGAUGGCCACACUGUCUCCUCCUGAGACUCAGUGAAGUUGAAAUGUUUGUGAUGAUGCAAUCUCCCCGCGGCUAGACGGAAAGACCCCAUGAACCUUUACUGCAGCUUUGCAUUGGACUUUGAACCGAUCUGUGUAGGAUAGGUGGGAGGCAGUGAAGCUAGGACGCCAGUCUUAGCGGAGCCAACCUUGAAAUACCACCCUGAUUUGUUUGAGGUUCUAACCUAGGAGCGUGAUCCGCUUCGGGGACCGUGCAUGGUAGGCAGUUUGACUGGGGCGGUCUCCUCCUAAAGGGUAACGGAGGAGUGCGAAGGUACGCUAGGUACGGUCGGAAAUCGUGCUGAUAGUGCAAUGGCAAAAGCGUGCUUGACUGCGAGACCGACAAGUCGAGCAGAUACGAAAGUAGGUCAUAGUGAUCCGGUGGCUCUGCAUGGAAGGGCCAUCGCUCAACGGAUAAAAGGUACUCUGGGGAUAACAGGCUGAUACCGCCCAAGAGUUCAUAUCGACGGCGGUGUUUGGCACCUCGAUGUCGGCUCAUCUCAUCCUGGGGCUGUAGCCGGUCCCAAGGGUAUGGCUGUUCGCCAUUUAAAGAGGUACGUGAGCUGGGUUUAAAACGUCGUGAGACAGUUUUGUCCCUAUCUGCCGUGGGCGUUGGAAGAUUGACGGGGGCUGCUCCUAGUACGAGAGGACCGGAGUGGACUCACCUCUGGUGUACCGGUUGUCACGCCAGUGGCAUCGCCGGGUAGCUAUGUGGGGAAAGGAUAACCGCUGAAAGCAUCUAAGCGGGAAACCUGCCUGAAGAUAAGUCUUCCUGGAGGCUUUGACCUCCCUGAAGAGUCGUUCGAGACCAGGACGUUGAUAGGUUGGAUGUGCAAGCGCUGUGAGGCGUUGAGCUGACCAAUACUAAUUGCUCGUGAAGCUUGAUCCU